AACGAACGCUGGCGGCGCGCCUAAUACAUGCAAGUCGAGCGAGAAGGUGUAGCAAUACACUUGUAAAGCGGCGAACGGGUGAGGAAUACAUGGGUAAUCUACCAUCGAGUGGGGAAUAACCAACCGAAAGGUUGGCUAAUACCGCGUACGCCUCCGAGUCUUCGGGUUCGGAGGGAAAGCUGCACUGUGAGUGUAGCGCUCUUUGAUGAGCUCAUGUCCUAUCAGCUUGUUGGUAGGGUAACGGCCUACCAAGGCUUUGACGGGUAGCUGGUCUGAGAGGACGAUCAGCCACACUGGCACUGCGACACGGGCCAGACUCCUACGGGAGGCAGCAGUAAGGAAUAUUGCGCAAUGGGCGAAAGCCUGACGCAGCGACGCCGCGUGGAGGAUGAAGGUUUUUGGAUUGUAAACUCCUUUUGUGGGGAAAGAAUGGAUGGUACCCCAAGAAUAAGUCACGGCUAACUACGUGCCAGCAGCCGCGGUAAAGCGUAUGU
This 494-nucleotide ribosomal RNA is filed under the name uncultured bacterium. Its description in RNAcentral is "bacterial SSU rRNA". It matches the Rfam family "Bacterial small subunit ribosomal RNA", at positions 29 to 532 of the family's 1533-position model. The record is from RNAcentral.